AUGGACGCGGUCGUGGCCAUGGACCGGCUGGCCCGUCGUCAACAGAAGCUACCGCCGGCGGGGACGAAGCGCAAGCUCCCGGAGCCGCGCACUCUCCCUCCGCUCAGCUCGCGGAUCAGCUCGGUGAACGCCAGGCACCGGCAGACCGCUGAGAAGUUUCUGGCGGACAUCGCGUCCGCGGACGAGGUGAUCCGGGAGCUCGACGAGGCGCUGGCGAAGCAGGGUGACGGCAUGGAGCAAGGCUAG
RNAcentral lists this ribosomal RNA (246 nucleotides) under Triticum aestivum (bread wheat). RNAcentral's name for it is "partial small subunit ribosomal RNA". Lineage: Eukaryota; Viridiplantae; Streptophyta; Magnoliopsida; Poales; Poaceae. The record is from RNAcentral.